AAAUAUUAUACAACUUUAAAUAAAUUUAAGAUGACAUUAUGACUUAUUAGGCCACAGUUAAAUAUGAGCUUCAUCUAUUAGUGAGUCAAUCAUAGGAUUUUCACACAUGGCUUUUGUUCACAGUAAGUUAUAUCAAUUAAGUUGCUUAGAAUGAACAUAUAGCUGAACUAAUAAGCAUGAAAUAUUUUCACUGAUUUAUAAGAAUCCAGAAAUUAUCAAUGAGUUUUCUUUUUCUAUUAUUUAAAAAAGUUUUUGCUUGGCAAAUCUUCCCCUCUAGGAGAUUAAAGUAUUUUUUGCUCAUUAAUCAAUGUAAGAACACCUUACUUUACAUUCAUUGAACUCUGAGGUUAUAGAACUGUGAACUUUUCGAUUUGUUCGGCUUGGGGAAUGUCAUAGUUCAUUCUGUGAGUGGAAGUUGCCUUUAACCACAUGAGAACAAAUAAGGGAAUAUUAAGGUUUUAACUCAAGGCAGCUGAUAUGCAAUGGCUGGGAUAAUGGCCAUUACCUAAAAGAAAGAAGGCAGCAAAUGGUUCCAGACAUUUAUAAUUAUGCAUCUGAAGUCAGAACACCUUUUCUUUUUAAACAUUUUCAAUUUGUGAUCUGCUUGAGGACUUGUACAUAGAUAGGCUCAAGAUAUUUUGAGUCACAUAUGUAAAUGAAAUGUUUUGAGCAAAGUUGUAACCCUGCCCACAAAAUAGCUUUGCUAGGGAACAGAUGUAACUUGGAGAAGUACCAAUUUUGUCAUUCUAGAUGAGAAAUCUUCUGGUGCCAUCAAUGGGAUGCAAUUUGGCUAGUCACACCUGGGUGACCAAUAUCCGGAGGCUCUACGUCAAGUCAUUGAACAUGGAUGGAUGCUCCAUUAAGUCAUUUAAAAUAAACUUCCUAGCAAGUGAUCUCUAGCAUCUCAAUUUAACUGUAUCCUUUGGAGAUUUAAGGAAAACUGACAAAGCUAAAAAUACCUCUGCUAGGGGAUCUAUUAGUAUUCUCCACAUUGCUACUGAAACUUGCUGCCUUUUCCUAGAAGCACAUGAAAGAAACCCUGGUCCAAGCGAACUGUCUCCUUCACCAAAGCCACCUUGGAGAGAGCCCACACGGAGACUGGAGAUGUAGACUAUUAAGAGCACUCAGCCACAGAGUCACUUUGGUUGUGUCACUUAACCUCUGUGCUCUUCUAAGCUCCAUUCCUGGCUUGUGUUGCAGGGAUGUUUUGAGGAUAUGUUGAUGUGUGUGACUCCUUCUCUGUGUGUUGCUAUUAAAGACAUUAAGAACUGAGCUGAGUAACAAACUUUCUAGAAAUGAAUGAAGAAAACAUAGCAAAAUUAUACCUAUUUUUUUAAAUUGAAGUACAAAGAAACUGUAGCUAUAAUUAUCUUUCUUGACACUAACAGUACAUGAUUCCUAAAUGCUAUUGCUCACCUCA
RNAcentral lists this long non-coding RNA (1420 nucleotides) under Homo sapiens (human). RNAcentral describes it as "long non-coding RNA NONHSAT233859". The record is from RNAcentral. Lineage: Eukaryota; Metazoa; Chordata; Mammalia; Primates; Hominidae.